GGACUACAGGGGUUUCUAAUCCUGUUUGCUCCCCUAGCUUUCGCAGCUGAGCGUCAGUAAUAGUCCAGGUACCUGCUUUCGCCGUUGGUGUUCCUCCCGAUCUCUGCGCAUUUCACCGCUACACCGGGAAUUCCAGUACCCUCUCCUACACUCAAGCCUGACAGUUUCCGUUGACCUCUCCCAGUUAAGCCGGGAGCUUCCACAACAGACUUGUCAGACCGCCUACCUGCCCUUUACGCCUAGUAAUUCCGAGUAACGCUUGCCACCUUCGUAUUACCGCGGCGGCUGGCAC
RNAcentral lists this ribosomal RNA (292 nucleotides) under uncultured bacterium. RNAcentral describes it as "partial 16S ribosomal RNA". The record is from RNAcentral.